Molecule: long non-coding RNA, 579 nt
Filed under: Gallus gallus (chicken)
Lineage: Eukaryota; Metazoa; Chordata; Aves; Galliformes; Phasianidae
Source: RNAcentral
CUGCUUGAACUCCUCAUCUUCAUCAGAGUCGCACUCAGGAAACUGGUACACUUUAAUGCCAAAUUUGUCAAUCUCUUCCCGGAUCCUCUCUUUUAGCUUUCGAAUCUCUGAGGGGAUCAGGCAGUCAGCUUUGGCAAUCAGGGGUACAAUGUUAACCUUCUCAUGAAGAGCCUUCAUGAACUCAACAUCCACGGGCCUCAGCCCAUGCCCGAAGGGCGAGAUGAAGUAGAGGCAGCAAUGCACUCGGUUGUCCUGGAUGUUCUUUCGGUUCAGGCCGCUCUCAUCACGGAAGUACUGCUCAAACUGCUGGUCGAUGUAGUCAGUGAUGGGCUUCCAGCAUUCAGUGUUAUUAACAGCAUCUCCAAAGCCUGGUGUGUCCACUAUGGUCAACUUCAGCUUGACACCCUUCUCUUCAAUGUCCACUGUGUGCUUGACAAUCUCCACUGUCUGGUUGAUUCUCUCCUCUGCAUUGAGGAGCUUUCUGUCUUUGUAUAGGUCUGUCAGGAACAGGCUAUUCACGAGCGUGGAUUUGCCCAGACCCGACUCUCCUGCAACCAUCAGGGUGAAGUCAAAACCCUU